GGGGAUUUAGCUCAGUGGUAGAGUGCUUGCCUAGCAAGCACAAGGCCCUGGGUUCAGUCCCCA
Molecule: non-coding RNA, 63 nt
Organism: Rattus norvegicus (Norway rat)
Lineage: Eukaryota; Metazoa; Chordata; Mammalia; Rodentia; Muridae
Source: Rfam